UACCAGCACCCCGAGUGGUCGGGACGUUUAUUGGGCCUAAAGCAUCCGUAGCCGGUUCUACAAGUCUUCCGUUAAACCCAACUGCUUAACAGGUGGGCUGCGGAAGAUACUAUAGAGCUAGGAGGCGGGAGAGGCAAGCGGUACUCGAUGGGUAGGGGUAAAAUCCGUUGAUCCAUUGAAGACCACCAGUGGCGAAGGCGGCUUGCCAGAACGCGCUCGACGGUGAGGGAUGAAAGCUGGGGGAGCAAACCGG
RNAcentral lists this ribosomal RNA (253 nucleotides) under uncultured bacterium. Its description in RNAcentral is "partial 16S ribosomal RNA". It matches the Rfam family "Archaeal small subunit ribosomal RNA", at positions 474 to 727 of the family's 1478-position model. The record is from RNAcentral.